UCGCCGCCCCCGGCCGCCCUCCCCCCCCCACCCCUGCCGCCCGCGGGCCGCCGGGCCCCGGUCUCCGCCCGGGCUCGGUCAGUCGGUACCUUCAUGAAGGUCUCUACCGCGCCUUUGGCCGUGUCCAGGACCCUGAUUGAUAUAUAUGCUGAACCCUAACAUGAACAGCCAAGAGCCCUAUGAAGGCUUGUCUGUGUUCAUCACUGUUUUGCAGCAUCUAGAACAGUGCAGUAUUCAAGAAAACGUUUGCAUGAGUGUAUCAAUGUGCCUAGUGCUGUGAGAGAAGGAAAUGGAUUUUAUUUUUAAGUCAUCUCUACACCGAAGGUGGGGCUUGAACUCACCACCCUGAGAUCCCCUGUCGAGUGCUGUACCGAUGACUAAGCCAGCCAGGCGUCCCUGCAUCAGCUUUUCAACUGAAGAUUAUGUCAUGCAGAAUCAACUCACACCAUAAGGAUAUGUCCACAUGGAUCAUAAAUAAAAGCAGGGUGUUUACAGAAUGGACCCACUUGUGCUCUCUGUGAGCCUCCAACUAUCGUCAUCUCUGUAACUAUAGUUAUCUCCACCCCUGAUGUGACUGUAUUGGAGAUAAGGCCUUUGAGGAGGUGAUUAAGGUGAAAUGAGCUCAUGAGGGUGGAGCCCUGAUCCCAUAGAACUGGCUUCUAAGAAGAGGAAGAGACACCAGAGGUCUCUCUCUCUCUCUUUCCCCACCAUGUGCAGACACGGUAGAAGGCAGCCAUCUGGCUAACAGACACAUGAAAAAUGUUCAUCAUCAUUAGCCAUCAGGGAAAUCCAAAUCAAAACCACAUUGAGAUACCACCUUACACCAGUUAGAAUCACAAAAAUGGACAGGGAAAGAAACAACAAAUGUUGGAGAGGUUGUGGAGAAAGGGGAACCCUCUUACACUGUUGGUGGGAAUGCAAGUUGGUACAGCCACUUUGGAAAACAGUGUGGAGGUGCCUCAAAAAUUUAAAAAUAGAGCUACCCUAUGACCCAGCAAUUCCACUCCUGGGUAUUUACCCCAAAGACACAGAUGUAGUGAAAAGAAGGGCCAUAUGCACCCCAUUGUUCAUAGCAGCAAUGUCUGCAAUAGCCACUCUGUGAAAAGAGCCAAGAUGCCCUUCAACAGACAAAUGGAUAAAGAAGAUGUGGUCCAUAUAUACAGUGGACUAUUACUCAGCCAUCAGAAAGGAUGAAUACCCAACUUUUGCAUCAACAUGGAUGGGACUGGAGGAGAUUAUGCUAAGUGAAAUAAGUCAAGCAGAGAAAGUCAAUUACCAUAUGGUUUCACUUAUUUGUGGAACAUAAGGAAUAACAUGGAGGACAUUAGGAGAAGGGAAAAAUGGGGAGGGGGAAUUGGAGGGAGAGAUGAACCAUGAGAGACUAUGGACUCUGAGAAACAAACAGGGUUUUAGAGGAGGGGGGAGAGGGGGUUGGUUAGCCCGGUGAUGGGUAUUAAGCAGGGCAUGUACUGCAUGGAGCACUGGGUGUUAUAUGAAAACAAUGGAUCGUGGAUCACCACAUCAAAAACUAAUGAUGUAUCGUAUGGUGACAUACAUAAUAAAAUUAAAAAAUAAAAAAAGAAGGCAGCCAUCUGCAGGCCAGCAAGAGGGCUCUCACUGGAACCUGGCUGCGUUGGCACCCUGAUCUCAGACUCACAGCCUCCAGAACUGUGAGAAAUAAAUGUCUGUGCCUGAAGCCACCCGGUCUAUGGUACCUUGUUAUGGCAGCCCAAGUAGACCAAGACACUAACUUCCAGGAACCAUGUGGGUUCUGUGGGCACAGCAUUCCAGGCAGACAGCGUGGGCCCCAGGAACACAAGGUGCCCCUGCCCUGACUGCCAAAUGUCCAGCUUUGGGGACAGGUCCAGAAUCGGUAAUAGUAAUGUAAGUUCUGUCAGCUGUGGCAGCUCUUCAUAUGCAAAGUAUAUUCAGAAAUCAGGUGCUUUUAUACGUAAACCUGACAGCACACCCGUAUACCAACGGAUGCAUGCACUCAUCCAAGAAAUAGGUCUCGAACACCAGCUGUGUGUCUGUUGAGCACAUCGGUGCGGGGGCGAUAGCAAUAAUCAGAACAGACCAAGUCCCUGUCCUCAGAGAGCUGAUCUUCUACUGGGGAACACAGGCGAUCAACGAAAUGAGUAAGCAAAAUGUAUGAUAUGCUAGAUGGUGGUAAGUGCUAAGGAGGAAAAUAAGGCAGCCAAGAAGGCAACCUUCAAUAGAGAGGCUAGGGGACAUCUCACAAAGAAGGUGACAGGGGAAUAAAGACCUGGAGGAGGUGAGGGAGGGAGCCAUGUGUAUAUCAGCAAAAGAACAUUCCAGAAUGACAGAAAGGCAAAGGGCCUGAGAUGUGCUGGAAAAUCACCAAGAAGGGCAGUAUGGCAAAGAAGAGAAGACAUGAGGGGAGAGAGUUGAGGGGUGGUACAGAUCACCAUUAUGCAGAGCUCCUAGAACAUUCUAUUGACUUCAACUUCUCCACUUAGCAGAGGCAGGGGUUCUUUACAUUGUUACCAAGUCUCUCUGGCUGCUGCCUGGGCAGCAUUGCUAUGGAGUAACGCAUUGGAAUACAGGCUACAGGGGCUUUCCAGGGCUGCCCUCACCAAUCACCACAAACUGGUGGCUUAAAACAAGACAAAUGUAUUCUUCCAUGUUGCUGGAGGCUGGAAGUCUGAAAUCAAGGUAUCUGCAGGGUUGGUUUCUUCUGGAGUCUCUGAGGGAGAAUCUGUCCCAUGCUUCUCUCAGCUUCUGGUGGCUACAGCAAUCCUUGGCAUUCCUUGACUUGGAGCUACAUCAUUCGAAUCUCUGCUUCUGGCUUCAGGUGGUCUUUUUCCGUGUGUGUGUGUGUGUGUGUGUGUGUGUGUGUGUCUGCCUGUCUGUCUGAACCUCUCUCUCCUUUUUCUUAUGAAGAUACCAGUUUUUUGGAUUUAGGGCCCACUUUAAUGCAGUAUGACCUAAUCUUAGCUAAUUACAUCUACAAAGACCCUAUUUCCAUUGGCAGAUGAAUUUGGGGGAUAGUAUACAACUCACUAUGCAUACCUAUCACUAAAAUACCAUGUUUAGGCUUAUGAUCUGAAAAAACGAGGCUUGUUUUUUUAGGUACAUUCCUGCAGUUUAUAGGAAGGAAAACACCAUGUGAAGUGAGAGUUGAUUCCUUGGCAAGAUGGAAUUGGCUGAAAACAAAGUAUACAUAAGAAGGUUAAAGUUUGGGGCGCCUGGGUGGCUCAGUUGGUUAAGCGACUGCCUUUGGCUCAGGUCAUGAUCCUGGAGUCCCUGGAUCGAGUCCCGCAUCGGGCUCCCUGCUCAACAGGGAGUCUGCUUCUCCCUCUGACCCUCCCCCCUCUCAUGUGCUCUCUGUCUCUCUCAUUCUCUCUGUC
Long non-coding RNA from Mirounga angustirostris (Northern elephant seal), 3371 nucleotides. RefSeq lists it as uncharacterized. The record is from RefSeq and is a predicted model, not a curated record. The transcript has 4 exons. NCBI's taxonomy places the organism in Eukaryota, Metazoa, Chordata, Mammalia, Carnivora, Phocidae.